Molecule: ribosomal RNA, 773 nt
Filed under: Microbacteriaceae bacterium
Lineage: Bacteria; Bacillati; Actinomycetota; Actinomycetes; Micrococcales; Microbacteriaceae
Description: bacterial SSU rRNA
Rfam family: Bacterial small subunit ribosomal RNA
Source: RNAcentral
GGAUUAGUGGCGAACGGGUGAGUAACACGUGAGUAACCUGCCCUUGACUCUGGGAUAAGCGCUAGAAAUGGCGUCUAAUACCGGAUACGAGCUUCAGCCGCAUGGCUAGGAGUUGGAAAGAAUUUUGGUCAAGGAUGGACUCGCGGCCUAUCAGCUAGUUGGUGAGGUAAUGGCUCACCAAGGCGACGACGGGUAGCCGGCCUGAGAGGGUGACCGGCCACACUGGGACUGAGACACGGCCCAGACUCCUACGGGAGGCAGCAGUGGGGAAUAUUGCACAAUGGGCGAAAGCCUGAUGCAGCAACGCCGCGUGAGGGAUGACGGCCUUCGGGUUGUAAACCUCUUUUAGUAGGGAAGAAGCGAAAGUGACGGUACCUGCAGAAAAAGCACCGGCUAACUACGUGCCAGCAGCCGCGGUAAUACGUAGGGUGCAAGCGUUGUCCGGAAUUAUUGGGCGUAAAGAGCUCGUAGGCGGUUUGUCGCGUCUGCUGUGAAAUCUGGGGGCUCAACCCCCAGCCUGCAGUGGGUACGGGCAGACUAGAGUGCGGUAGGGGAGAUUGGAAUUCCUGGUGUAGCGGUGGAAUGCGCAGAUAUCAGGAGGAACACCGAUGGCGAAGGCAGAUCUCUGGGCCGUAACUGACGCUGAGGAGCGAAAGCAUGGGGAGCGAACAGGAUUAGAUACCCUGGUAGUCCAUGCCGUAAACGUUGGGAACUAGAUGUGGGGGCCAUUCCACGGUCUCCGUGUCGCAGCUAACGCAUUAAGUUCCCCGCCU